CCUACGGGAGGCAGCAGUGGGGAAUAUUGCACAAUGGGGGAAACCCUGAUGCAGCGACGCCGCGUGAGUGAAGAAGUAUUUCGGUAUGUAAAGCUCUAUCAGCAGGGAAGAAAAUGACGGUACCUGAUUAAGAAGCCCCGGCUAACUACGUGCCAGCAGCCGCGGUAAUACGUAGGGGGCAAGCGUUAUCCGGAUUUACUGGGUGUAAGGGGAGCGUAGACGGCAGCGCAAGUCUGAAGUGAAAUGCCGGGGCUUAACCCCGGAACUGCUUUGGAAACGGUGCAGCUAGAGUGCAGGAGAGGUAAGUGGAAUUCCUAGUGUAGAGGUGAAAUGCGUAGAUAUUAGGAGGAACACCAGUGGCGAAGGCGGCUUACUGGACUGUAACUGACGUUGAGGCUCGAAAGCGUGGGGAGCAAACAGGAUUAGAUACCCGGGUAGUC
RNAcentral lists this ribosomal RNA (440 nucleotides) under uncultured bacterium. RNAcentral describes it as "partial 16S ribosomal RNA". It matches the Rfam family "Bacterial small subunit ribosomal RNA", at positions 338 to 795 of the family's 1533-position model. The record is from RNAcentral.